GAGAUAAUUUAGCACCUUAAGCAUAGUUGUCUGGCCCAUCUGUAUGCUACUUCCAUGUCGCCACCAGCAGUCCAAUAAGUUAUUUCUGCUAUUAAAGUUAUCCUUGGGGAGGAUGGCUCCAACAGAGGUGCCCAAAAACUUGCUCGCAUCCGCGAGAAUAGUAAUUUCUUCAGGUCAGAGCUCAAGAAGAUGGGUUUUGAGGUUCUUGGUGACAAUGACUCUCCUGUCAUGCCCAUAAUGCUCUACAAUCCGGCUAAGAUUCCUGCAUUCUCUAGGGAGUGCCUUAGACAAAAGGUUAGUAGUAGAGUUUGUCAGGAUAUUCUGAAGAUCCAAAUAGCACUAUGCUUUUGGUAUACUUUUUUUU
Zea mays is the source of this 364-nucleotide long non-coding RNA. RefSeq lists it as uncharacterized. The record is from RefSeq and is a predicted model, not a curated record. NCBI's taxonomy places the organism in Eukaryota, Viridiplantae, Streptophyta, Magnoliopsida, Poales, Poaceae. The transcript has 2 exons.